UGGUGGGGUGACUUGUCUGCUUAAUUGCGAUAACGAACGAGACCUUAACCUGCUAAAUGGCCCGCAUUGCUCCGGCAGUGCGCUGGCUUCUUAGAGGGACUUUCGGCUCAAGCCGAAGGAAGUUUGAGGCAAUAACA
Molecule: ribosomal RNA, 137 nt
Filed under: uncultured eukaryote
Lineage: Eukaryota
Description: partial 18S ribosomal RNA
Rfam family: Eukaryotic small subunit ribosomal RNA
Source: RNAcentral